Molecule: long non-coding RNA, 1180 nt
Filed under: Marmota monax (woodchuck)
Lineage: Eukaryota; Metazoa; Chordata; Mammalia; Rodentia; Sciuridae
Source: RNAcentral
GGUUUGAAAGGCUGAGCUAAAGUCCAGCGCUCUGGCCUUAUAGUCCCUGAACCCCCACCGUGGGGCCUUCCUGGGCACCUCAGGCAGGCCAGGACAACCUGGUGACACGCUUCUGAGACCUGGAACCUCUCAACCUGCAGCCCCUACAAAGGCUGCUGAGGUCAGUCCUGGAAGGGCAGGGUCUGCUGCCCCUCCCAGCCCAGCCAUCCUGACCCUGAGCCCUGGUCCUCAUGGUGUUGGAGAGGCAGAGGACACUUGCCACCAGCUAGAAUCCAGCCUGGGGUGGCUGCUGGGCCCCAAGGGGCUGCUGUGGAGAGGCCACGUACGCAGUGACCCAGACCACGGCGCCCUGGGCCCAGUCACUCUACAGGGCGGGGACUCAGACUUGGGAGUGCCACCAGCCUCCCCAGGGCCUGUCCAAGCCACUUGAAGGAGACUAACAAGAAUGGCUCUGAGCCACGGGGAUGGGGACGGGGGACAGGAGCGAAUCCCUACACAGCUGAGCUCCCGGAUGAGCAGCCCCCGUGGAAAGGGCUUUCUGGAGCUGGGUGGUCCCCCCUGGGCCUGGGGCAGGGAAGGUAUUAACUGGGAGCCCCCAGGCCUGGGGCAGGGAAGGUAUUAACUGGGGGCCCCCCCGGGCCUGGGGCAGGAAGGUAUUUAACUGCUCUGGGGUAACGUAAAACCCUCCAAAUUCACGUUUGGAUCCGGCCAGGAUACCGCCGUCAUGGCUCUUCAGAAACAGGCGUUGACAGUGUGACCGAGUCCAAGGAGAGCUUGGGGCUGGUGGGACCUGACCCAGGGUGGCUGCCCUCUUGUAGAGAGGGAUCUGGACCCAGACACACAGGGAGGAGGCCUGCACAGACAGGCAGAGGUCCAGUGCUGCGUCCCCAGGCCCAGACACCCCAGAGGUGGCCCACAGACCACCAGAAGCUGCAGGACCCUGGAGCAGACUCUCGGGAGGAGCCAGCCCUCCCCACACUGGUGUUAGACCUCUGGCUGCAGGUCAGGGACUAGAUCCCUGAUGCCAAACCCCAGGCUUCGGGGCAACCCUGAAUGUCACUGAGCAUCAGAGCCACCGCCACCCUACAGGAGGGCGGAGCCCCAGGCCCCUCUAGAUGCUGGACCCUGGGGAGACCUGGGAAAAGAGUCCAGGGCCAGGAGAGGGGCCAGGGGAGGAGGG